This 1104-nucleotide long non-coding RNA is filed under the name Nicotiana tabacum (common tobacco). RNAcentral describes it as "long non-coding RNA (NTAB_LNC003568)". The record is from RNAcentral. Lineage: Eukaryota; Viridiplantae; Streptophyta; Magnoliopsida; Solanales; Solanaceae.
CACAAUAUUGAAUAAAUAAACCAAUAUGAUAAACUAAGAAAUCAAAAUCAAUAUCUGAAAAAAAAUAGUCAUGAAAGAACCACAACCCUAGAACGUGAAGUUUUAGCUCCACAAAGACAUGGUAGCCAAACAACAAAUCAUACAAAUAAACAUAAAAAAAUACUAAGUUUGAUGGAAGAAAAGAUGAAACCCGGCCUCCACGGUGGCUCUAUGCUCUCCCUAGGUCGAAUUCCCUUCAAAAAGUAUGUUAGAUCACCUAAAAGAGGCGUUUUUGGCUUAUAUAGUGCGUACAAAAGUCGUGGGCUAAAGUUCUCCUAUUCCUAGUCCGACUCAGCUUCAGGGAUUGAUGUUGGGUCCUCCGCUUCUCAGCUUCGCAUGCACCUACCCUUUGUUCCUCCAUCUCAGCCUUGCCCAGGUGCGGAUGCUAUGGAGAUGCUAUGGGCCGACUUCACUGCUAAGGGGUGCAUCAAGUAACCUUUUCUCCUCUAGUUGGAGCAUCUUUUCUUCAUAUUUUUGCACUCCAAACACCCUAAAUCAUCACACACAACUCAAUUAGUCAUAAAACCAAUAAUUAAACCAUGUUGGGCAUUUUUAACACCAAAUAGCAACAAAAAGCGGUUAAAACAUAGGUAAAGUAACAUCAAAACAUAUAAAAAUAUACCCAACAUCAGUGACACUUAGCCAAACAGUAAAAACCGUUUUCUAUGGUUGCUAUGUUUUCACUCUACACGACCUUUUCACCAGAAGCUCUAAAAGUGUGCUUUGACUGUGCAAAUUUUCUGCUUUGUUCCAACGAAUUUCAACUUUCGUUUGUCCAAACUUAAAGAAACAGAUAGGAUAUAUAUUUCUUUAAAAUAGAAAACUUGGUGUUUCAAAAAGGUAAAAAGAGGGAGGGAGGAAAGGAUAAAAGAAGCAACGCAAGUGAAAGGGAAAUUACUAAAUUUUGAGGCAACAACAAAUGAUUCAGCUUCCACAAUUUAAAGCCAAUGAAGCUUUUAGAUAAUUCAAUUUUCGUCCUAUUUCUUUUAGCACAUGGUUUUGUUUCUCUUUAAAUUCCAACCUUAUAUAACUUAGUGUCUAAAGUUGCACCAUUCAUAAUUCCAC